UGCCUAAUACAUGCAAGUCGAGCGAACUGAUUAGAAGCUUGCUUCUAUGACGUUAGCGGCGGACGGGUGAGUAACACGUGGGCAACCUGCCUGUAAGACUGGGAUAACUUCGGGAAACCGAAGCUAAUACCGGAUAGGAUCUUCUCCUUCAUGGGAGAUGAUUGAAAGAUGGUUUCGGCUAUCACUUACAGAUGGGCCCGCGGUGCAUUAGCUAGUUGGUGAGGUAACGGCUCACCAAGGCAACGAUGCAUAGCCGACCUGAGAGGGUGAUCGGCCACACUGGGACUGAGACACGGCCCAGACUCCUACGGGAGGCAGCAGUAGGGAAUCUUCCGCAAUGGACGAAAGUCUGACGGAGCAACGCCGCGUGAGUGAUGAAGGCUUUCGGGUCGUAAAACUCUGUUGUUAGGGAAGAACAAGUACAAGAGUAACUGCUCGUACCUUGACGGUACCUAACCAGAAAGCCACGGCUAACUACGUGCCAGCA
This 487-nucleotide ribosomal RNA is filed under the name marine sediment bacterium ISA-7293. RNAcentral's name for it is "bacterial SSU rRNA". It matches the Rfam family "Bacterial small subunit ribosomal RNA", at positions 45 to 513 of the family's 1533-position model. The record is from RNAcentral.